AGUGAACGCUGGCGGUAGGCCUAACACAUGCAAGUCGAACGGCAGCACAGUAAGAGCUUGCUCUUACGGGCGGCGAGUGGCGGACGGGUGAGGAAUACAUCGGAAUCUACUUUUUCGUGGGGGAUAACGUAGGGAAACGUACGCGAAUACCGCAUACGACCUACGGGUGAAAGCAGGGGAUCUUCGGACCUUGCGCGAUUGAAUGAGCCGAUGUCGGAUUAGCUAGUUGGCGGGGUAAAGGCCCACCAAGGCGACGAUCCGUAGAUGGUCUGAGAGGAUGAUCAGCCACACUGGAACUGAGACACGGUCCGGACUCCUGCGAGAGGCAGCAGUCGGGAAUAUUGGACAAUGGGCGAAGGGCUGAUCCAGCCAUACCGCGUGAGUGAAGAAGGCCUUCGGGUUGUAAAGCCCUUUUGUUGGGAAAGAAAAGCAGCAGGUUAAUCCCCCGCUGUUCUGACGGUACCCAAAGAAUAAGCACCGGCUAACUUCGUG
This 492-nucleotide ribosomal RNA is filed under the name uncultured bacterium. RNAcentral's name for it is "partial 16S ribosomal RNA". It matches the Rfam family "Bacterial small subunit ribosomal RNA", at positions 29 to 507 of the family's 1533-position model. The record is from RNAcentral.